GAUGAACGCUAGCUACAGGCUUAACACAUGCAAGUCGAGGGGCAGCGGUAUCGAAAGCUUGCUUUCGGUAGCCGGCGACCGGCGCACGGGUGAGUAACGCGUAUCGAACCUGCCUCAUACUCGGGAAUAGCCUUGCGAAAGUAAGAUUAAUGCCCGGUGUGUUCAGAGUCCCGCAUUAGGCUUUGAACAAAGAUUUAUCGGUAUGAGAUGGCGAUGCGUCCCAUUAGCUUGUUGGCGGGGUAACGGCCCACCAAGGCAUCGAUGGGUAGGGGUUCUGAGAGGAAGGUCCCCCAGAGUGGAACUGAGACACGGGCCAAAGUCCUACGGGAGGCAGCAGUGAGGAAGAUUGGUCAAUGGGAGGAAGCCUGAUCCAGCCAAGUAGCGUGCAGGAAGACGGCCCUCCGGGUUGUAAACUGCUUUUAGUUGGGAAUAAAACGGGGCUCGUGAGCCCCCUUGCAUGUACCAUCAGAAAAAGGACCGGCUAAUUCCGUG
RNAcentral lists this ribosomal RNA (492 nucleotides) under uncultured bacterium. RNAcentral's name for it is "partial 16S ribosomal RNA". It matches the Rfam family "Bacterial small subunit ribosomal RNA", at positions 28 to 507 of the family's 1533-position model. The record is from RNAcentral.